GAUGUACGCUGGCGGCGUGCCUAAUACAUGCAAGUCGAGCGAACAGACGAGGAGCUUGCUCCUCUGACGUUAGCGGCGGACGGGUGAGUAACACGUGGAUAACCUACCUAUAAGACUGGGAUAACUUCGGGAAACCGGAUCUAAUACCGGAUAAUAUAUUGAACCGCAUGGUUCAAUAGUGAAAGCCGGUUUUGAUGUCACUUAUAGAUGGAUCCUCGCCGCAUUAGCUAGUUGGUAAGGUAACGGCUUACCAAGGCAACGAUGCGUAGGCGACCUGAGAGGGUGAUCGGCCACACUGGAACUGAGACACGGUCCAGACUCCUACGGGAGGCAGCAGUAGGGAAUCUUCCGCAAUGGGCGAAAGCCUGACGGAGCAACGCCGCGUGAGUGAUGAAGGUCUUCGGAUCGUAAAACUCUGUUAUUAGGGAAGAACAAAUGUGUAAGUAACUAUGCACGUCUUGACGGUACCUAAUCAGAAAGCCACGGCUAACUACG
This 495-nucleotide ribosomal RNA is filed under the name uncultured bacterium. RNAcentral's name for it is "partial 16S ribosomal RNA". It matches the Rfam family "Bacterial small subunit ribosomal RNA", at positions 28 to 505 of the family's 1533-position model. The record is from RNAcentral.